CGCGGGGUGGAGCAGCCUGGUAGAUCGUCGGGCUCAUAACCCGAAGGUCGUCGGUUCAAAUCCGGCCCCCGCAACCA
This 77-nucleotide transfer RNA is filed under the name Klebsiella aerogenes. RNAcentral's name for it is "tRNA-Met". It matches the Rfam family "tRNA". Rfam says of the family: Transfer RNA (tRNA) molecules are approximately 80 nucleotides in length. Their secondary structure includes four short double-helical elements and three loops (D, anti-codon, and T loops). The record is from RNAcentral. RNAcentral also lists the same sequence under 2 other names. Lineage: Bacteria; Pseudomonadati; Pseudomonadota; Gammaproteobacteria; Enterobacterales; Enterobacteriaceae.